AGUGAACGCUGGCGGUAGGCCUAACACAUGCAAGUCGAACGGCAGCACAGUAAGAGCUUGCUCUUACGGGUGGCGAGUGGCGGACGGGUGAGGAAUACAUCGGAAUCUACUUUUUCGUGGGGGAUAACGUAGGGAAACUUACGCUAAUACCGCAUACGACCUACGGGUGAAAGCAGGGGAUCUUCGGACCUUGCGCGAUUGAAUGAGCCGAUGUCGGAUUAGCUAGUUGGCGGGGUAAAGGCCCACCAAGGCGACGAUCCGUAGCUGGUCUGAGAGGAUGAUCAGACACACUGGAAGUGAGACACGGUCCAGACUCCGACGGGAGGAAGCAGUGGGGAAUAUUGGACAAUGGGCGAAAGCCUGAUCCAGCCAUACCGCGUGGGUGAAGAAGGCCUUCGGGUUGUAAAGCCCUUUUGUUGGGAAAGAAAAGCAGCAGGUUAAUACCCCGCUGUUCUGACGGUACCCAAAGAAUAAGCACCGGCUAACUUCGUG
Molecule: ribosomal RNA, 492 nt
Filed under: uncultured bacterium
Lineage: Bacteria
Description: partial 16S ribosomal RNA
Rfam family: Bacterial small subunit ribosomal RNA
Source: RNAcentral